Long non-coding RNA from Canis lupus familiaris (dog), 642 nucleotides. RefSeq lists it as uncharacterized. Lineage: Eukaryota; Metazoa; Chordata; Mammalia; Carnivora; Canidae. The record is from RefSeq and is a predicted model, not a curated record. The transcript is spliced from 4 exons.
CCACCACGUGCCUCUAACCCGGGGGGCCGCCCCGGAUCCUCGGCAGGGGACGGCCCCGUCCGCACUCUCGGGCCGCAGCCCCCGCUGCAGGCGGCCCAGGCGGGACGACCCUUCCCGGAGUUGUCCCGUGGGCAGAACCAGCGACCUUCCCCCCUCCCCAGACGAGGAAGGGACUACAUUUCCCAAGAUGCCCUGCGCUGGGCUUCGUUCGGCGCUGACUAGAGACCCGAGAUUGAGUUCUCCGCUGACAUUUGGAAGCGGAAACUAAGCCCUGGUAGGAAAGGGUCUCAAGGAAGACAAGGCAUGGGACCAAGGAAGACUGAGGGAGGCAGUGACCUGCUGAGCAACCAGAGCUGCAGGAUCACUGGGCCUCACAGAUUUAUGCGUUUCUCUGGUGUUUACCUGGAUCUGCCCUUCUGUCAAAGUGGUCAUAACUGAUGUGAUUUUACAAAGGCUGAGCAGCUUCAGAAUCUGCUCACUUGAUUUGCAUGUCUUCAUCGUCUUCUCAAUGUCUUCUGUGGUGACUUUCUUCCCCGGUAAGCUUUCCAUCAAGCUGCGGAGCUGCUCGAAGGUAAGGUUUGUGUAUCCAAUGUGCCGCUGUACGCUGUUCUCACACAGGUCAAUAUCUGCAUAAAGCAAAAG